This 342-nucleotide long non-coding RNA is filed under the name Dermacentor andersoni. RNAcentral's name for it is "uncharacterized LOC126523455". Lineage: Eukaryota; Metazoa; Arthropoda; Arachnida; Ixodida; Ixodidae. The record is from RNAcentral.
UUGGCAGGUUGAAGAAGGACAAUUGGUUAAAAAGCUAGUAGAACUCCACAAUGCAUCAGUGAGGCUCGCAUUGUUGAAGAGUAAGGGUCGCAAGCAAGUUCAUUUUGCCGAGGUGUGCCCUGGAUAUUGUGAUGAAAAUAACUUGGGGAGCUGGUGUUCUCCAAACUGCCGGUGUCGGGUCUUGGGUGUGGUUCAUCCGCCCAUAUACUUAUGUUUUGAGGAAGGCAAACCACUUCCGCUUGGAUUCAAGGAAUUCUGACGCACAUUUUCCUGUGCCUGUAUUCUAUAGCUGCACUUAAAUUAAAACAAAGGUAAAGCUGAAAUAAAACGUUCACCUGUUUU